Molecule: ribosomal RNA, 100 nt
Filed under: uncultured bacterium
Lineage: Bacteria
Description: partial 16S ribosomal RNA
Rfam family: Bacterial small subunit ribosomal RNA
Source: RNAcentral
UACGUUCCCGGGCCUUGUACACACCGCCCGUCACGCCAUGGGAGCUGGUAUCGCCCGAAGUGUUCGCAAGAAUCCUACGGCAAUGCCGGUGACUGGGGUG